CGAAAGAAGGGAUGAUUCCCUCAUUUUAGAACUACACUUCCAAAGACUAACAAAUUAAUUUUAAGUGAUCCGAUACCCGUAUUCGAUCAACGAACCAAGUUACCCUGGGGAUAACAGCGCAAUCUACCUCAAGAGCCCCUAUCGACAGGUGGGUUUACGACCUCGAUGUUGGAUCAGGGUAUCCCAGUGGUGCAGCAGCUACCAAAGGUUCGUUUGUUCAACGAUUAAAACCCU
This 234-nucleotide ribosomal RNA is filed under the name Boophis reticulatus. RNAcentral's name for it is "partial 16S ribosomal RNA". It matches the Rfam family "Bacterial large subunit ribosomal RNA", at positions 2350 to 2597 of the family's 2925-position model. Lineage: Eukaryota; Metazoa; Chordata; Amphibia; Anura; Mantellidae. The record is from RNAcentral.